AGCGAACGCUGGCGGCAGGCUUAACACAUGCAAGUCGAACGGGCUUCUUCGGAAGUCAGUGGCAGACGGGUGAGUAACACGGGGGAACGUGCCCUUCGGUUCGGAAUAACUCAGGGGAACUUGAGCUAGUACCGGAUACGCCCUUAUGGGGACAUGUUGACUGCCGGAGGAUCGGCCCGAGACUGAUUAGCUGGUUGGUGGGGUAACGGCGUACCAAGGGGACGAUCAGUAGCUGGGCUGAGAGGCUGAGCAGCCACACUGGGACUGAGACACGGUGCAGACUACUGCGGGAGGCAGGAGUGGGGAAUAUAGGAAUAUGGGCUCAAUGCUGAACCAGCCAGGCCGCGAGAGUGAUGAAGUCCGGAGAGUUGUAAAGCUCUUUUGUCCGGGACGAUAAUGACGGUACCGGAAGAAUAAGCACCGGCUAACUUCGUG
Molecule: ribosomal RNA, 435 nt
Filed under: uncultured bacterium
Lineage: Bacteria
Description: partial 16S ribosomal RNA
Rfam family: Bacterial small subunit ribosomal RNA
Source: RNAcentral